This is a small nuclear RNA of Telopea speciosissima, 104 nucleotides long. NCBI's taxonomy places the organism in Eukaryota, Viridiplantae, Streptophyta, Magnoliopsida, Proteales, Proteaceae. The record is from RefSeq and is a predicted model, not a curated record.
UUCUUCUAUUUGGAGACAACUGACAAAAUUGGUAUUAUACAGAGAAGAUUAGCAUGGCCCCUACUAACAGGAUUAGGUCAUUUCAAUCAUUGCUUAAAAAUAUA